UCCCUGGUGGUCCAGUGGCUAAGACUCUGCACUCCCAAUGCAGGGUGCCGGGGUUCGAUCCCUGGUCAGGGAC
Molecule: non-coding RNA, 73 nt
Organism: Bos taurus (domestic cattle)
Lineage: Eukaryota; Metazoa; Chordata; Mammalia; Artiodactyla; Bovidae
Source: Rfam